Spodoptera frugiperda (fall armyworm) is the source of this 749-nucleotide long non-coding RNA. RefSeq lists it as uncharacterized. The transcript is spliced from 2 exons. The record is from RefSeq and is a predicted model, not a curated record. Lineage: Eukaryota; Metazoa; Arthropoda; Insecta; Lepidoptera; Noctuidae.
CGCCUGUGCGUUGGAGCUCGAGUAUUCUAGAUCGGUCCAUUUGGUCCUGGACGCUGCUGGAGAGCUGUGCUGCGCCGCGUCCGCUCCUACCUUACCAGAGAACAAGUCUCCAAGUCAGUGGUUCACCAUGACGGCCGCUACGCCCGCCAAGCCGCCUCCACCAGAAAAGAAAAAGACCAAGCCCAAGCGUCGCAAGCGCAGCCAGAAGAAGAAGCAGAAGGAGAACGGCCAGACAGCCCAAUUCAACUACAUCAUGGAGCGCCCGCCGUUCAUGGAAGUUGAAAAUUAAGUUUUCAACGACUAUGCCGUAGUACGCAGAAAUGCGACUACCCUUGUUACGCACUCGUUUUAUUUAUGUAUCUACUUCUACCGGACAGUACGCGGGGAAAUGAUCUCAAGACUAAUUAAGUGGGGAGUUCCGCUGCUGGAAGCGGUAGAUUGCAGCGAUGCUGUGGACAUCAAUCAAGAGGAGGGGUGUGAACAUCACGUUUUGCUGUGUGAAGAUCACGGAGAGAUUACAUGAGAUCAGUUUACAUAAGGGUUCGUCACAAUCACUGGGGGAGGACAUGAGGAGGACUAUUAUCAGGCGACAUCUUGCAGUUGUUUUGUUUGAAGAAGUAGAUACUAGCUUGAUAUCGUUCUAAGUAGAUUAGGUAGGUACUGAUUCAGGUACCGGUACGCUUUCGAAUUGUUAAUUUUGUCAGUGUUGUGAAUUUUUUGAUUAUAAUAUAUGCAUCGUAGCUGAAUAA